AAAUAUACUUUUUCCAGCAAGUCUGGCAGUUUCUGUAAGCUGAAGAAAAUGUUUGCUGCACUGUCAGUUGUGUAGCGUAAUUCAUAGGCCUCUCUGUCAGCAGCCAGUUUUCCUUGCAAGUGCAGCAGAGGAAUGGAGCAUGACUUCUCCUACCCCUCUCUUAGGACCCCUCAGUGAGAAUGUGUGGUGCUCAUGAAGGCAUCCAUACUGCCAAGGAGGGUCUCAGAGCACUUUCAGAGGAGCCAGUUGACUGAAUGCCACUUAAGCUGUUGAAGAAUGGGCUGGGCAAGCAGUGAGAUGAAUCAAAAACUGGCUGAAAGGCUUGGCCAGAGAACAGAGGUUCUGGAUUUUUCAUCUAUGUGCCAGCUGCUUUCUUCUCCCUCCUCCCACUCUGUAGCACUUUAAAGCAUCAUUAACAUGGAAGAUUUUGAGGACAAAAAGACUAACUUUAUGAAUCGUCUUGUCAAAUAAGGUAAAAAUGAAAGAUUUUAUAUUCUAUGAUUAGCCAAAAAUUAAGAUUUACUCUUUUAGAAUUGAGAUUUUUCAUGUUUAAUAUAAGUUUUUCCUUGGUCAAAGUUUUCCAAACAUAGCAUGAAAGUAGUAAAGAAUAUAGAAACAGAAAGAAAGCAACUCACUGCACACUCCUAUGUAUCCCUUGC
Molecule: long non-coding RNA, 659 nt
Organism: Numida meleagris (helmeted guineafowl)
Lineage: Eukaryota; Metazoa; Chordata; Aves; Galliformes; Numididae
Exons: 3
Source: RefSeq, a predicted model, not a curated record